GACGAACGCUGGCGGCGUGCCUAAUACAUGCAAGUCGAACGAGAGCACCCGGUGCUUGCACUGGUCAAUCUAGUGGCGAACGGGUGAGUAACACGUGGGUAACCUGCCCAUCAGAGGGGGAUAACAUCCGGAAACGGAUGCUAAAACCGCAUAGGUCUUCGAACCGCAUGGUUUGAAGAGGAAAAGAGGCGCAAGCUUCUGCUGACGGAUGGACCCGCGGUGCAUUAGCUAGUUGGUGAGGUAACGGCUCACCAAGGCCGUGAUGCAUAGCCGACCUGAGAGGGUGAUCAGCCACAUUGGAACUGAGACACGGCCCAGACUCCUACGGGAGGCAGCAGUGGGGAAUCUUGCGCAAUGGGCGCAAGUCUGACGGAGCAAUGCCGCGUGAGUGAAGAAGGUGUUCGGAUCGUAAAGCUCUGUUGUUAGAGAAGAACAAGUGCUAGAGUAACUGUUGGCGCCUUGACGGUAUCUAAACAGAAAGCCACGGCUAACUACGUG
Molecule: ribosomal RNA, 498 nt
Filed under: uncultured bacterium
Lineage: Bacteria
Description: partial 16S ribosomal RNA
Rfam family: Bacterial small subunit ribosomal RNA
Source: RNAcentral